CAGCAGCAGCCGCGGUAAUACAGAGGUCCCGAGCGUUGUUCGGAUUCACUGGGCGUAAAGCGUGCGCAGGCGGUUUGUUAAGACAGAUGUGAAAUCCCCGGGCUCAACCUGGGAACUGCAUUUGUGACUGGCAAGCUAGAGUCUGGCAGAGGGGGGUGGAAUUCCGCGCGUAGCAGUGAAAUGCGUAGAUAUGCGGAGGAACACCGAUGGCGAAGGCAGCCCCCUGGGCCAACACUGACGCUCAUGCACGAAAGCGUGGGGAGCAAACAGGAUUAGAUACCCCUGUAGUCCCUGUCUCUUAUAC
Molecule: ribosomal RNA, 304 nt
Filed under: uncultured bacterium
Lineage: Bacteria
Description: partial 16S ribosomal RNA
Rfam family: Bacterial small subunit ribosomal RNA
Source: RNAcentral